ACGAACGCUGGCGGCGUGCUUAACACAUGCAAGUCGAACGGAAAGGCCCUGCUUUUGUGGGGUGCUCGAGUGGCGAACGGGUGAGUAACACGUGAGUAACCUGCCCUUGACUUUGGGAUAACUUCAGGAAACUGGGGCUAAUACCGGAUAGGAGCUCCUGCUGCAUGGUGGGGGUUGGAAAGUUUCGGCGGUUGGGGAUGGACUCGCGGCUUAUCAGCUUGUUGGUGGGGUAGUGGCUUACCGAGGCUUUGACGGGUAGCCGGCCUGAGAGGGUGACCGGCCACAUUGGGACUGAGAUACGGCCCAGACUCCUACGGGAGGCAACAGUGGGGAAUAUUGCACAAUGGGCGGAAGCCUGAUGCAGCAACGCCGCGUGCGGGAUGACGGCCUUCGGGUUGUAAACCGCUUUCGCCUGUGACGAAGCGUGAGUGACGGUAAUGGGUAAAGAAGCACCGGCUAACUACGUG
This 467-nucleotide ribosomal RNA is filed under the name uncultured bacterium. RNAcentral describes it as "partial 16S ribosomal RNA". It matches the Rfam family "Bacterial small subunit ribosomal RNA", at positions 29 to 507 of the family's 1533-position model. The record is from RNAcentral.